RNAcentral lists this unclassified non-coding RNA (649 nucleotides) under uncultured Prochlorococcus sp. RNAcentral describes it as "partial 16S-23S ribosomal RNA intergenic spacer; may also contain 16S ribosomal RNA and 23S ribosomal RNA". The stretch from base 306 to 378 matches the Rfam family "tRNA". The record is from RNAcentral. Lineage: Bacteria; Bacillati; Cyanobacteriota; Cyanophyceae; Synechococcales; Prochlorococcaceae.
UUGUGGAGGAGGACGCCGAAGGUGGGGCUAAUGACUGGGGUGAAGUCGUAACAAGGUAGCCGUACCGGAAGGUGCGGCUGGAUCACCUCCUAACAGGGAGACAACAAAAUGUUAAAUAUUAAUUUUGUCACCUUAGGUCGAUCGGUAUCUCACAUUCUUAAUUGAUUUUAAGGAUUUUAUUUCCUAAGUUUUUUCUAGGUCACACCCAUUAUUUUUCCUGGGCCAUUAGCUCAGGUGGUUAGAGCGCACCCCUGAUAAGGGUGAGGUCCCUGGUUCAAGUCCAGGAUGGCCCAUAUCUCUAUGUUGGGGGUAUAGCUCAGUUGGUAGAGCGCCUGCUUUGCAAGCAGGAUGUCAGCGGUUCGAGUCCGCUUACCUCCACUGAUUACCACCUCUUCCAUAAUUUAUAUGAAGGGAUUGUUUUGAUGUGUGAUCAAGUUCUGAACGAAUCUAGCUUCCUAAUUAAACCUAUUAAGAUGCUGGACUCAUUGAAUUAAUUUCAUUGUUUUCAGAGAACCUUGACAACUGCAUAGAUUAUUUUUAAAGACAAUGAGCAUCUUUAAUGAUGCAGAUUUAUUAUUUGUGCGAAUGCAUUAAUAACAAUUCUAUUAAGCUGAUGCUUCAAUUUUUGAAGUUAUUGGUCAAGCUACAA